GCGAAAGUGGCGGAAUUGGUAGACGCACUGGAUUUAGGUUCCAGCGCCGCGAGGUGUGGGGGUUCGAGUCCCCCCUUUCGCACCA
This 85-nucleotide transfer RNA is filed under the name Betaproteobacteria bacterium. RNAcentral describes it as "tRNA-Leu". It matches the Rfam family "tRNA". Rfam says of the family: Transfer RNA (tRNA) molecules are approximately 80 nucleotides in length. Their secondary structure includes four short double-helical elements and three loops (D, anti-codon, and T loops). Lineage: Bacteria; Pseudomonadati; Pseudomonadota; Betaproteobacteria. The record is from RNAcentral.